Chelonoidis abingdonii (Abingdon island giant tortoise) is the source of this 110-nucleotide non-coding RNA. The record is from RefSeq and is a predicted model, not a curated record. Lineage: Eukaryota; Metazoa; Chordata; Testudines; Testudinidae.
UUAACUUGUAAUGAAAGAGGUGCCGGGGCUCAAGCAAUUUUUGUACUUUCAUAACUGACGUGACAAGCCCAGAAAUGCUGGGGCUCAACUCCCAAAAUUGGAGGAGCCAG